AUUGAACGCUGGCGGCAUGCCUUACACAUGCAAGUCGAACGGCAGCACGGGAGCAAUCCUGGUGGCGAGUGGCGAACGGGUGAGUAAUGUAUCGGAGCGUGCCCAGUCGUGGGGGAUAACGCAGCGAAAGCUGUGCUAAUACCGCAUACGAUCUAUGGAUGAAAGCGGGGGAUCGCAAGACCUCGCGCGAUUGGAGCGGCCGAUAUCAGAUUAGCUAGGUGGUGGGGUAAAAGCUUACCAAGGCGACGAUCUGUAGCUGGUCUGAGAGGACGACCAGCCACACUAGAACUGAGACACGGUCCAGACUCCUACGGGAGGCAGCAGUGGGGAAUUUUGGACAAUGGGCGCAAGCCUGAUCCAGCAAUGCCGCGUGCAGGAUGAAGGCCUUCGGGUUGUAAACUGCUUUUGUACGGAGCGAAAAGGCUUUCUCUAAUACAGGAGGCUCAUGACGGUACCGUAAGAAUAAGCACCGGCUAACUACGUGCCAGCAGCCGCGGUAA
This 500-nucleotide ribosomal RNA is filed under the name uncultured bacterium. Its description in RNAcentral is "partial 16S ribosomal RNA". It matches the Rfam family "Bacterial small subunit ribosomal RNA", at positions 30 to 523 of the family's 1533-position model. The record is from RNAcentral.